AGGUUUCCUGCUUCAACGGUGCUUGGACGGAACCC
This is a non-coding RNA of Pongo abelii (Sumatran orangutan), 35 nucleotides long. The record is from Rfam. NCBI's taxonomy places the organism in Eukaryota, Metazoa, Chordata, Mammalia, Primates, Hominidae.